CCAGGGCUAGUCCAUCAGGUAAGAAAUACGUUCUUACUGUGGUGGACUAUGCCACCCGCUAUCCAGAGGCAGUAGCGCUGUCUAACAUAGAGGCAGAGACGGUUGCUGAUGCCCUGGUUAGAAUUUUUACUAGGGUCGGGUUCCCUAAGGAGAUCCUCUCUGACCAGGGAACCCAAUUCACCGCUGUGCUCACCCAGCAGCUGUGGAAGGUGUGUGGCAUUAAGCCGUUACUUAGCUCACCCUACCACCCACAGACUAAC
Non-coding RNA from Pelobates cultripes (western spadefoot toad), 260 nucleotides. Lineage: Eukaryota; Metazoa; Chordata; Amphibia; Anura; Pelobatidae. The record is from the annotation of a GenBank genome assembly.